UGUGGGAGCUGGCUUGCCAGCGAUGGGGCCGGGUCAGUCAAUAUAUUUAGUGCCUGAUUCACCGCCAUCGCUGGCAAGCCAGCUCCCACA
Molecule: unclassified non-coding RNA, 90 nt
Filed under: Pseudomonas sp. Z003-0.4C(8344-21)
Lineage: Bacteria; Pseudomonadati; Pseudomonadota; Gammaproteobacteria; Pseudomonadales; Pseudomonadaceae
Source: RNAcentral